This 497-nucleotide ribosomal RNA is filed under the name uncultured bacterium. RNAcentral's name for it is "partial 16S ribosomal RNA". It matches the Rfam family "Bacterial small subunit ribosomal RNA", at positions 28 to 507 of the family's 1533-position model. The record is from RNAcentral.
GAUGAACGCUGGCGGCGUGCCUAAUACAUGCAAGUCGAGCGAACAGACGAGGAGCUUGCUCCUCUGACGUUAGCGGCGGACGGGUGAGUAACACGUGGAUAACCUACCUAUAAGACUGGGAUAACUUCGGGAAACCGGAGCUAAUACCGGAUAAUAUAUUGAACCGCAUGGUUCAAUAGUGAAAGACGGUUUUGCUGUCACUUAUAGAUGGAUCCGCGCCGCAUUAGCUAGUUGGUAAGGUAACGGCUUACCAAGGCAACGAUGCGUAGCCGACCUGAGAGGGUGAUCGGCCACACUGGAACUGAGACACGGUCCAGACUCCUACGGGAGGCAGCAGUAGGGAAUCUUCCGCAAUGGGCGAAAGCCUGACGGAGCAACGCCGGGUGAGUGAUGAAGGUCUUCGGAUCGUAAAACUCUGUUAUUAGGGAAGAACAAAUGUGUAAGUAACUAUGCACGUCUUGACGGUACCUAAUCAGAAAGCCACGGCUAACUACGUG